GACUUUCCCUUUGGUGCUGUCUUACUGCUGGCACUCCCCACCCCUCACUGGGCAGACGUGCUUGUGGUAGCAGGUUAAUAAAAUAGUUGAGCAGCAUUUAGUUUCCACUGCACAGCCAGCCUAGAUGGCAUCUGUGGGCAGCGCUUUUGUGUGAAGGAAGCACAGUUAAAGUCUAGAAUCUAAGGAAAGAAGAGCAUAUAUCAUAUUUAAAGGAGAUUUUGAGCUUACGGUAAGAAGGAGAAUUAUAUUUUAUAUCAUAACUUUAAUAGCUGAGGAGCUGUAUCUCAAAGUGCUUUACGAAGGGAUGAGGCAGAUAGUGAUAGUUCAAGCAACGUGUAGGAAAACGUGCCAGCCAUAUGUGUAGCUGUAUCUCACACGCAGUCUUGGAAAUAAUUUAUUUUUAUUGAAGGGAUGAAUUUGCCAGAACAUCAAAGCUGUCUUCUGCACUUUGGAAGAAGUGCCACGUUGUCUUUAAUCUAAAAGGCUGGUGACAGGAGGGUCUGCCUCACCAGCUAUCUCCUUCUCUUCCCAAACUCGUCCUGCGUGUUGGUGAAUGGAGGCCAGGCUCAACAUCAGCACACGUGUGAAUGAAGAUUCACUUUUUUCCUGUCAGGCUUCUUUUCUUCUGUCCAUCCUUCCUGCUGCCGAGCCUCACACACUUCAAGGCCAGGCUGGAUGGGGCUGUGAGCUACCUGGGCUAGAGGGAGGGUGUUCCUGCCUGUAGCAGAGGGUUGGAAUCAGGUGAUCUUAAAGGUCCCUUCCAACCCAUAUGAUUGGAAUGAUUCUAUGAUUUUAUGGAACUCACGUAUUUGUUUUCUUCCUCAAUCUUGGCUGCUUUUCCCCUGUCCCUUGCGAUGUGUUCUUUCCUUAGGCUUAAUGCAAACACCUGGCCAGGACGGAAGUUUGAUCCUGCAAGAGCCAAGCAAUGCAGCAGCUUCAUCUCAUUGGGCAGAAGAUAAGCACUGCACAUGCAGAUCUUCCAGAUGUCCCAGGACUUGUCCCAGGAAUCUUCAUACGCCCUCUGAAAGCCAGUUGUAAUGGAAAGGCUGCUUCAUGUGAUGCAUCGAACACGUUUCAUUUUGUGGCCCUCAAAUUGAGCAAAAAGGGCUGUCAGAGCAAGGCUGCAGGAUUCAGGCUCUGACCUUCACACCCUGCUUUCUCCUGUUCUCGCUGGUACUGUGUGCUGAGGGGAGGCUCCUGCAGCACCUGCCCUGGGAUAAGGCAUCACGGUUUGUUCCUGUCCCUGCCUUCAAGGUCUGUGCCAUUCCACACGGCUGUUUCUCUAGGAGAAAGCGUGUGUUCAGCAGUGUGAACCGUCUCCACAGAGCUGCAGCCUGGCUGAGUAACACAAUCCUUCACCUCUCCCCUUGGAGAACAGAAGGGACAGAAAUGUACUGACUACAACUAGGGGCAUCCCAUCCUGGUUUUGCUGCUGUCACGAGCCCCUCUUGUUCUGUCGGAAGGGUUUUGUGUGCAGAGAGAUGUAGCAGAUAGGCUGUGUUUGCCUGGGCCAUGAAGAGUAACAACCCUUUACAAGCAAAGAUGCGCUCUUUAGCCUGCCAGGCAGUGUGCUUGGGAGCUCCACUGCUUCCUCAGGAUGUCCACAAAACGUCAUCCAACAAGAUGGCACCUACCAGCUGCUCUCACCUGGGUGGGCAAUGUGAGCCACUGUGUGCUCUGCCGGCCCUGUGCACAGUGAGGGGCGCUGGUGGUGUGAAUGGGAGAAACCAUAAAGGCAGUUAGAGUGGGAAGGGAGAGGAAUUGCACCAUCCGUUAUCCAACUUGAGCAAAGUGACGUGAAGAAGGAUAUUAUUUUAGAAAGUUUAUCUCUUUAGUAUCUAUGGUGACAAGAUGCUUAUCGGAGUAAGACAGACUCACAGGCUGUCUGCUCCUUGUUAUCUCAGUGUAGGAUGACAGUAUAAGUAUCACGUCUAGAAAUGUUAUCUAUCCUUUAUUAUUUCACUUGUGAGGGUCUAACAGGAGUGUUAUCAGGGUGUUUACAAUCAAAACACGUGCGGCUCAAGUGAUAAAAAGGAGAACAGACAUCUGAUCUCCAAGGAUAUGAAGACAAUACAGCCUUGAGCAGGAGGAGAUGGAUCUUAUUGGAAAUGGUUUGUCGGGCUGGGAAUGGACAAGCAAGCCCGCGUGAUUGCUCACAUCAUAAGCUUGAGAGAUGGGAUGGGGGAGAAGCACGCGUACGAGCGCACGCGGUCUCACAGAAAAUGAAAAGGCGAUUGUAUCAACAGCACUCUCAGCUGAAAGAGAAAUAUUUUCCAAUAAUUUCGUUACGAUUUGAUGUAUUCUGUGCUCUCCUCUCCCUUAGAGCGGUAAUGUGGCGAGCUGGCAGGACCAACAAGUGCCGUAGAGUUGCUUGGAGUGAGUCAGAAGCUGAGAAAGCUUACCCAGGCUCGGAGGGUGGAGAGCAGACAGCUGGUAAGAUUGCUUAUCAGGGGCUUCCUUUAGAUUAGCACAACGCUGGCCCAAGCUUCUGCAAGGUAAGGAAUCAAUUUCGGGGUUAGUGGUGACUAUAAACCUUAUCCUAGAUCUCCUUAGGGCCAGGGAGGCUAAAUUCCUCACGGACGGAGGUGUACAAAGAUCUCCCAGACAUCAGAUCUCAUUCGUUUACAGCGUGAGCAAGCCAGGUGCUCAGUGGUGUCAAAUGCUGAUUUUCUUACUUGGCAUGAAUGAUCCUCAGCUGUUAAAGAUAGGGCUGGAUUGUGCAAUGCUCUGUUCAAACCCAGGUCUUACUCCUGGAGGUGGCUGUGUUCUUGGAUAGAUAGACUUCAUUGGAUGUUUUCUUCUUCUGUUGCAGUUAGACUCCAUUCUCCUAAGGUACAACAGUUCCCUUAAGCCAAGCAGAGUGCUUUUAUCCCACAAGAUAACAUGGAGUGAGGAGUGUGUCUUCUGGGGGUCAUAGAUGGGGGGCCAGGCAUGGUGAGGUGCAAUGGGUGGGCACAUUGUGGCCUCCUGGUGACAAACCCACCUCUGAGCAUCUCUUCCUGACUGUAUAGCUGGCUUCCAACUGGAGGUAGGCAGCUUCUUUGGGUAGGGGGUAGGGAAGGAACACAAGCAUCUCCCCCUCAGCACAGUUCUGCAUUAGCCUGCCUGCUCAGCUCCAUAUUCAUCUUGAGCUGGGUAUCACACAAAGAGAACUGCUUUCAACCUGUCUCAAUGACUCUCCCAUCACUCUCUAAUGGCUGUCAACUGCAGGUAACCCUUCUUCACCUGUGGAAACUGGCAGCAACACCUCGGGCUCGUUUAUGAGAAAUUAUCUCUGGUUGUGAUACACGGUGCAUUUUUUUUUUUUCAUUUGAACCCCUAGCUUGGCAGGGCCAGUGGGGCUGUUUUGUAUGGUAAUAUAUGACCCAUCACUCCUCUCCUGCCCUUCGUCUCUCACACCUUUAAUUGCACUUGUGUUUCUGAAGCAUAUGGAAUUCAUUAUUCAGCAAGCAAGGUCCUUUGCAAUAUCAGCCUUAAUUAACUGUUCCCCUCUGCAUUUUCUUGCUCUUAUCCUCUCCAAAUCUACACACCAAGACAGGCUGAUGGCCCCCCACAUGCAUCAGUGCCAGCCAGUGAGCCGUGACCAGAUAAGAAGAAAUGGAAUUCCUUAUCUUUUUUUUUUUUUCCUUCUUCUUUCUUAAAAUACAUGUACACACAAACCUGGAAAAGGUCAAGGUUACUGGGAAGGGAGAAGGCACUUCAAGACAACAAAACCCCCUUCUCUUUCAAGUCUCCAUAGCAACUCGAAGGAGCAUCAUGGGAUGUCAGGAUGAGAGAGGCCUAUUCUUUUCAUGCAACACUCUUUCCACUUCAUUAGACUCUUUAUCAAGUAUCUCUGCUCUGGGCUGAGUAUAUUUUUUUGUGUCAGGGAGCAGUGCAGAUGACUCAAAAGCACGCUGACCUUUUCAGUGGGACCCGGGAGUUCCUUGUGGGAGCUGCAUCCUCUUCCCUUGCCUUCCUCCCCCACAGCCCCUUGCCUCCAGUUCGCAUGACCUCGGUCUGCCUGGCCUUCUCAUCAAAACCCCGUGGCUGGGGAGGGAUGAAGGGCUUCUUUUAAAGGAGAAAGGGGGAAAAAAAAUAAAGAGAGCAGAGUAUGAGAAUGUCCUUCGCUGGCACUGGAGGUGUCAAGACCCAGCUGUCAGAGCCGUGCAUCUAUGGGGAAGAUUAAUGACUCUGCUCAGAGAAAAUCCAAAUAAAAUAGGACAGAAUAAAUGCCAAGUGACUGGGCGGAGGAUGAGGGGAAGAGUGAGGAAGGAGCGAGGCAGUGUGACGGGGCGGAGGUAUUCCUCAGUCUCGGAAGUGCUUUAAUUCCCCGUGGAGGAACAAGUUAGCAUAGGAACGCUCUUUAGGUUUCACCCCAUGGUCUUGAAGAGCCGUGUCUGUCUGUGUGCAUCGGGGUGUGAGCACGCUUAUAAAGCACUGGUUGUACCGAGGCACCGAGGCUGUAUGUUUUUAUCUUUACUUCCUUGGAAAAAUACCCACCGUAGAGAAGCCUUUUGUUUUAAGCUUCUCACCACGUUAGCCCGUUUCAUCCUCUAGAUAUCUUGAAUUGCUUUGCAAAUCAAUGUGCUGCUUGUUCUUGGGAAGCUUCAAUGCCUGUUUUAUGCUGGGCAGUAGCACACAGCACAGCUUGGAGGGAAUAAAGGGGCUGCAACUGUGCUGUGGUUGUGGGAUUGCACUUGAGCUGCAGGCCCUUAGACCUAACCUUCACGAGAUACCAAGGCGCUGUAACUGCCUUUAGUUUUUAAGAUGAUCCUUUGGAUUUUUACUUCUUCCAGGGAGCUGUUCCGUGACAGUUUGCAGCUUAAUUUGAACAGACUUCAUGCUCUGAGAGCCCAGCUGAGCUCCUCACCAUAACAGCACACGGUGUGAAACUCCGUAUGUUGGAAGCCGCGUGCAUUGGAUGAGGAGAGGGACUCGUUAGCGUGGAUGACUGACAAGGCCAAAGUCAUUUAACCAAGUGUUUGUAAAGAGCCUUGAACCUGGACAUGCUCAGACUGUGUGCUCCAAGCUAGAUGAUUUACAUGGGUGAUUUUAGGAGGAAAAACUGUAGAAGAAAAAGCUUUGCACGUACAGUAGGAAUCAGGGUUAUGAAUAUCCCAGUCCAACUGCUUCGAUCCUCGGAGGAGUAAUUCUGAAGUGGGAAAUCCCAUUAACUCAUAAUAGGGCUCUUAAGUAGUUCCCUAUGAUGAAUUUGUGGCACUCUGCAAGUCUCAUAAUUCCCAAUAUACAGAUGAGGAAACUGAGGUUAAGUGACUUACCCAAGGUCACGUAGGAAAUCAAUAACCACUGCAGCCCGCGCCGGCAGCACCUCUCACUGACUGUGAGUGACUCUGAAUCAGGGAAUGAUUUGUGUUGAAAGGGGCCUCAAAGAUCACCCAGUUCCAGCCCCUGCAGUGGGUUGGUGGCCACCCACGACAUCAGGCUGCCCAGGGCUGAAUCCAACCUGGCCUUGGACAGCUCCAGGAAUGGGGCACCCACACUUCUCUGGGCAAACCGAAUGGUGAUAAUCAUCCCCAGUGCUGGCAGAGGAAACUUGGUGUCUGAACCCUGUAUCAUGUCACAGCUCUAAAGAAUGUCCCAGGGUCUCGGGGGAGGCUUGGCCAUGCAGAGCUGAGUGGCUGGGACUCUCCCACCCCGAUCAGAGCAACGCUGCUUUGCUGUUUCCUGGCAGAUGGGUGUCCUCUUGUUCUCAGGAUCCUCAAAUAUGGAUGCUCUGUGGUCUCCUGCUGUCCCAGUUUAUCCCAGUGCCCUCUGCCAUCUGUCACAGCACUGUUGCUUUCCCGUGGCACGGCAGGCAGGAGCCCGAAUCCCACACUCUCCAUCUGUGUCAGGUGCUCUGGCUGUGCUCAGCAGUGUGUUUCUUGUGAUCUGAAGCUUAUGUCUGAAAAAGCAGGCAGAGCAUGUCUGUGGCAGGUGUGCAGUGUUGGGGGUGGGAUCCUCUCUCAUAUGAUGGCAGGAAAUUGCCUCGUGCAGGACCUCUCUGCUGUGGUGAGUGUGAGAGCCUCUGCCAGUACCUGUGCUCCUUCUUUCCUCCUGCUGAUUGAGCUCACCGCUCGUGUUCCAGCUCCUCUGCUCGCUGCUUUCAUCUCAGGUUUGCAGGGGAAUACACUGCUGGCAUAGGGGUGUUCCAGCACUGGGGACUGGUGUGAUCAAUGCAUGCUUCCUUACCACGUGUGGUGGGUCCUGCAGGAAGGGGCUGUGCUUCCCAGGGUCCAACGUGGGACUCCUCACAGUAACACUGACCAUCACCUACGUGCUCUUCCUAUCACUUGUUGCUCUUUCCAGAACUAGCAGCUGGUGUGACCCAGCGAUGAGAGGUGCGAGACGGGGUGCAGACACCCAGCAUCACUCAGGUCUUCUGCAGGAGUUUUUCCUCUGUCCAGCUUCUCAGUUCUUUUUUUAUAGUUUCCCUUCAGCUGAUUCAUAGCUAUUUGAAUUGCUGAUUUCACUCGUACUGUUACUGUGGCCUAGUGCUAAUGAUCUGUCUCUAUUUCCUUCCCAGGUAGUAAAGCACAGCAAUACUCUGGAGCCUGCUGUCUGAAUGAGCAUGUGCUGGGAUUAACCUGCUGCCCAACAGCUUGCUAUAUUUUCAUAGUGCUUCCCAUAGCUGCCAGUCUGACAGGCCUCUGAAAGCUGAGGGAAGUGGUUAGUGAUAAGGUGUGGGCACUGAGAACAGCUACACUUUAAGGCCUCACAAGGACAGCAUGCAUUUCUUGUAUGGCUCCAUUUUCCGAUCAGCAUCUCUACACAUAUUUGUCGCUUGCCAGACCCUCAGUCCUCUUUGACUUAACCUGCUGAGAAGGGAGGAUGCUCAGGAGCAUGCAGGCGGAGCAGGAAGCUCAGGGCUAUCUGCCAUAACCCAACCCAGAGACCACUCUGCUCCGCAGCUGGUGCUCCAGCCACCUGCACUGCCAGCACUGAGCUCCAGCUCCAUAACCCAGUGCCUGCGGGCAGUUUUCUGACCUUGUGUAGGGCGAAGAUCUCAACACUCCGUGCAUAUGUGGGGUGAAUGCUGUGGCAGAGGUGUGGCCAUGUAGACAACCCCCUGUUUUGCAACGCACGGCAGAGCACUGGUGUCUCAGGGACAGUUGUAGCGCAGGGGAUAUUUUGUACUGCAAACUGCAGCUUUAAAAAAAGCACUCAAUGUUGGUUCAAGGUUUCAUUCCUGAAGCCUUAAGGACUGAAUAUAUUCACUGUGUCCUUCUUUAUUUGCAGGUUUAAGGCACGACAGACUUGUUCCGCUGAUUAUUCUGACUGCAGUUUUAGCUCUCCCCUCCUGGCUGUCAAAGAGGAGUUGGUCCUUGUAUGCAAGAUCUUAAACCACGUGUUGGGAGCUCAUGCAUGGAGCAGAGCAGCGGUAUCAGAGGGGAUCCGAGUUGCUUGGAGCCCUGCUUGUGUGAUUCACCGGUGGCACUGAAGACCUUCCCCUGCAGGCUGGAUCCUGGACAGCGCUCCCAUCCCUGCACCUCCAACCUCAGUGCCCGGGUGGUGGAGCCAGGAGGUUCUGGAACAAGGCAGCAAAACUUGCUCGGUGUAGACAAAGCCAUGUGACAGUCCCACCUAACAGCAACCAUGCUACUGGGAACGCAGACAAAGGUGUCACUGUGAUUAAUGGGGCACUCAUCUGAGCACCGCGUCCAGGAGCACAGGUUGCACCUUGCCCUGGUGGCCCGGCUUUUGCAGGCUUUGUCUGCUGUGAGUCCUGCUCAGAAAUGGCUGGAAGGAAUUCAAGGACAGAGGCAAAAAGGUAAAGCAGCCCCGACACGGCAGAGAUGAGAAAUUUUGCACUUUAUCAUAGGCUAAUGGAAACAAUAGCAGGAAUGAAGGCUGACUGGUUGCUUUUCAGAAGCAGAGAGAAUAAAAUGAUGCAUGAAAUAGCAAGAAGCAUCUUUGCCUGAAGACCAGUACGUGUGUCAUUUGAGCUCGGUGUCUUGGUCAUCACAGUCAGUUAGGCUGCCUCCAGUUAUGAAGAGCCAGUGCAACUCCAUGUGCUGCUCUGAUGGCUGUUUCUUGGCAAAUAGAGGUGCUCAGUUGGGAAAGUAGGGUGGUGACGCACUGGAACAGGUUGCCCAA
Long non-coding RNA from Gallus gallus (chicken), 8076 nucleotides. RefSeq lists it as uncharacterized. The record is from RefSeq and is a predicted model, not a curated record. The transcript is spliced from 5 exons. Lineage: Eukaryota; Metazoa; Chordata; Aves; Galliformes; Phasianidae.